This 417-nucleotide ribosomal RNA is filed under the name uncultured bacterium. Its description in RNAcentral is "bacterial SSU rRNA". It matches the Rfam family "Bacterial small subunit ribosomal RNA", at positions 355 to 787 of the family's 1533-position model. The record is from RNAcentral.
UGGGGAAUAUUGGGCAAUGGGCGAAAGCCUGACCCAGCAACGCCGCGUGGAGGAAGAAGGUUUUCGGAUCGUAAACUCCUGUCCUAAGAGACGAGGAAGAGACGGUAUCUUAGGAGGAAGCCCCGGCUAACUACGUGCCAGCAGCCGCGGUAAUACGUAGGGGGCAAGCGUUGUCCGGAAUGAUUGGGCGUAAAGGGUGCGUAGGCGGCUCGGUAAGUCUGGAGUGAAAGUCCUGGCUUUAAGUUGGGAAUUGCUUUGGAUACUGUCGGGCUUGAGUGCAGGAGAGGUUAGUGGAAUUCCCAGUGUAGCGGUGAAAUGCGUAGAGAUUGGGAGGAACACCAGUGGCGAAGGCGACUAACUGGACUGUAACUGACGCUGAGGCGCGAAAGUGUGGGGAGCAAACAGGAUUAGAUACCC